GCUUAUUUGCAUUUACCAGUACGCAUGCGCGGAAUUUCCUUAGCAACGAAAAAAGUGAGAUAAACAAGUCGCGUUCGACAGGGCAGCGUGUGUCCAGGUUCAAUGUUCAAGUGUCGAGAUUUUUAGCCUCUACACGGCGUUAACGGCAGCUACCCGCCUGGAUCUGAUGUUCCAACGAUGUCCUAAACCUUGUGUACCUGAAACACCGUGUUCAGUUUCGCUUCAGAGGAAUUUACGGUGCCGGGGUUCAACAUGAGGCUGUGUGCAGUGGUCGGCUGCGGUAAUGGAACAUAUCAACCAAGGCGGUUUCAACCUUCUUGUAUCAACUUUAAAAAAAGGAAGUCAGGGACAUGUCCAAAUAAAAACAUCGAACAAAAAAAAGGAUUUUGAUGAUGCAACUGUCCCCAACCUUUCCAGCUAUGCAUUUCCCACUGACAAGAAAGACCCGUGGCCGGACAAAACUGUUCUUGCUCACAGAUUGCCAACACUUGGGUUCGCUUCCUGUCUGUUACACUACAACCACUGAUAGCAUGGCCAAGUAGAGCUGCAAUUUCCAAGACCUUGCCACCACAGUUCAAGAAACAAUGUAGUAGAAUAAGAUGCAUAAUUGAUUGUACAGAAAUAUUUAUUGAGAGACCUAGGUCUUUAGACUUACAAGCCUCCACAUGGUUUGACUAUAAAAACACAAUACUUUAAAGCCGUUUGUAGGGAUCACACCAAAUGGACACAUCUCCUUUCUUUCAAAGACCUAUGGCAGAAGAGCCUCUGAUGUGUUCAUUACCUGGGACUGUGGCUUUUUAGAUUUGGUUGAUCCAAAUGACGUUAUAAAAAUAAUGGCAGAUAGGGGAUUUCCAAUCCAGGAGGACCUGAUGCUGCUGAAUGCAACACUAGAAAUACCACCAGCAGCAUAGGGGAGG
Branchiostoma floridae (Florida lancelet) is the source of this 917-nucleotide long non-coding RNA. RefSeq lists it as uncharacterized. The record is from RefSeq and is a predicted model, not a curated record. NCBI's taxonomy places the organism in Eukaryota, Metazoa, Chordata, Leptocardii, Amphioxiformes, Branchiostomatidae. The transcript is spliced from 2 exons.